GCAGAGAUGGCUCAUCGGUUAAGAGCACUGACUGCUCUUCCAGAGGUCCUGAGUUCAAUUCCCAGCAACCACA
RNAcentral lists this transfer RNA (73 nucleotides) under Mus musculus (house mouse). RNAcentral's name for it is "tRNA-Ser". Lineage: Eukaryota; Metazoa; Chordata; Mammalia; Rodentia; Muridae. The record is from RNAcentral.